GUUCAGUAUCAGAGAAAAAAAUAAAGAGGCGCUUUGAGACCCAAAAAAUGAACAUCUGUCCCAGCGGAAGGCAAAGCGUAAUCUGGUGGGUGAAGCCACCGUCCUCGCUGGCGGACGGGGAAGUGAUGCCAGAGGCUCUCGGGUCUGUAGCGAGGAUUUCUGCAGCGAGAACGGCUCACCCCGCUGCUCCUCGUGUUUCCUGCGCUUCCAAACUCGCGGGAGGUUUGCAAGAACGUCGGCUGAAAUCCCGAAAAAAAAAGCCUUAAACCAAAACCAAUAAUAAUAAUAAUAAUAAUAAUAAUAAUAAACAACCCGGGACGGACAGAAGUGGUCGGGGUAACACACGGUUCCUCCGCCCUCGGCCGCGCACGAUGUUCGUCGGUUCCGGCCAUUCGCAGUAAAUAAAUUAAUUAAAAAAAAUAUUAUAAUAAUAGUAACAAUUAAAAGAAGCAAAAUAAAUCCUGGCGGCUCGGGAAUUUAAGAGGAACGGAGUAGAGGAAUGCAGAGAGCAACGACCCGGACGGGGCUGGGAAAAGCGGCUCAGCAGCCGAGGUGGCAACGAAAGUGCAGAAAAAGGCUUUUCCCAAAUACGAAAUAACAAUAAAAAUAAUAAUCUUAAAAGCUGGAAAUAAAGGAGGGAGGAGGCAGCCGCAGAAUCUCUCUGUUCCAGGGCUGUUGCGCCUGCGAGCGGGAAGAACUCGCGGGGACGCUGUCGUGCCCCGGGGCUGCGCUGCUGCCACCCCCGUCCCUCGCGGAGGUUUUGUUCACUUUGGGUAUUUUUAUCCAUAUUUUUGUCAGUUAAACUGAACCACGAAAAACUCUCCUCGCAGGGAAUGCACUCCCGAUUUUUGAGCUCGUUCUCGUUAUUUGGGGGUUUGAAGGACGGGCAAAAGGGAGAAAAUGUUAUUUAUUAAGGGGGGGGUGUUGAUAAAAUAAUCCUGAGUAAGGGAAGAGAAUCGGAGCCCAGCUUGAAGCGGGUUUUGUUUUUCAAUCCGCCGCGAUUACGGUUUGUGGAAGGAGGGAAACAAAGUAAAUUCCCAAAUCGAGGGGGGAAGCCCAGCUCCGGGGGAAACUUCGGAAGAUGCCACCGGCGAGAACGCUC
Molecule: long non-coding RNA, 1102 nt
Organism: Hirundo rustica (Barn swallow)
Lineage: Eukaryota; Metazoa; Chordata; Aves; Passeriformes; Hirundinidae
Exons: 3
Source: RefSeq, a predicted model, not a curated record